AGACUCUGAUCAGCAUGCCGCGUGCAGGAGAAUGCCCUAUGGGUAGUAAACUGCUUUUAUACGGGAAGAAAAAGAGCUACGUGUAGCUUACUGACGGUACCGUAAGAAUAAGGACCGGCUAACUCCGUGCCAGCAGCCGCGGUAAUACGGAGGGUCCGAGCGUUAUCCGGAAUUAUUGGGUUUAAAGGGUCCGUAGGCGGGCCGAUAAGUCAGGGGUGAAAGUCUGCCGCUCAACGGUAGAACUGCCUUUGAUACUGUCGGUCUUGAGUUAUAGUGAAGUUGCCGGAAUAUGUAGUGUAGCGGUGAAAUGCAUAGAUAUUACAUAGAACACCGAUUGGGAAGGCAGA
RNAcentral lists this ribosomal RNA (347 nucleotides) under uncultured Maribacter sp. RNAcentral describes it as "bacterial SSU rRNA". It matches the Rfam family "Bacterial small subunit ribosomal RNA", at positions 378 to 725 of the family's 1533-position model. The record is from RNAcentral. Lineage: Bacteria; Pseudomonadati; Bacteroidota; Flavobacteriia; Flavobacteriales; Flavobacteriaceae.